CCUGGUUGAUCCUGCCAGUAGUCAUAUGCUUGUGUUAAAGAUUAAGCCAUGCAUGUGUAAGUAUGAAUCAUACGACGGUGAAACUGCGAAUGGCUCAUUAAAUCGGUUAGAAUUUAUUUGAUGGUAACCCUUUACUUGGAUAACCGUGGUAAUUCUAGAGCUAAUACAUGCACGAAGUCCCGAUUGGCCGGCCUCGGUUGGCUGAAAGGGAUGCACUUGUUAGCUGAGCAAGCCAAUGGCGGCCGGCUUCGGUCGGUCGUCACCAAGGCGAAUCAUAACAAUUGAGCUGAUCGCAUGGCCCAGAGCCGGCGACGCUUCAUUCAACUUUCCGCCCUAUCAACUUUCGAUGGUAGUAUAGAGGACUACCAUGGUUGUAACGGGUAACGGGGAAUUAGGGUUUGAUUCCGGAGAGGGAGCUCGAGAAAUGGCUACCACUUCCAAGGACGGCAGCAGGCGCGCAAAUUACCCAAUUCCGACACGGAGAGGUAGUUACAACAAAUAACAAUACGGGUCCCAUACGGGUCUCGUAAUUGGAAUGAGUACAACUUAAACCCCUUAACGAGGAGCAAUUGGAGGGCAAGUCUGGUGCCAGCAGCCGCGGUAAUUCCAGCUCCAGUAGCGUAUAUUAAAGCUGUUGCGGUUAAAAAGCUCGUAGUUGGAUUUGAGGGCUCAGGGAGGCACGGUCUGCGCUACGCGUAUGCACUGGCCACCCGGCCCUUUCCUUCUGGAUGCUCGGUGCUGCUCUUAACUGAGUGGCGCUAAGGCGGGUUCACGCCUGCCGGAGUUCCAGAUCUGUUACUUUGAAAAAAUUAGAGUGUUCAAAGCAGGCUGCUUGUCAGCCCUGAAUACAUUAGCAUGGGAUAACGCGACAGGACUGCGGUCCUCAUCUCGUUGGUUUCUGAGGCGCCGAGUAAUGAUUAAUAGGGAUAGUUGGGGUGAUUAGUAUUUAGGCGUCAGAGGUGAAAUUCUUGGAUCGCCUAAAGACUAACUUAUGCGAAAGCAUUUCACAAGGAUGUUUUCAUUAAUCAAGAACGAAAGUUGGGGGAUCGAAGACGAUCAGAUACCGUCGUAGUCUCAACCAUAAACUAUGCCGACCAGGGAUCGGAAGACGUUAUAUUAUACGACUCCUCCGGCACCUUGUGAGAAAUCAUAAGUGUUUGGGCCUCGGGGGGAGUAUGGUCGCAAGGCUGAAACUUAAAGGAAUUGACGGAAGGGCACCACCAGGAGUGGAACUUGCGGCUUAAUUUGACCCAACACGGGGAAACUUACCAGGUUCAGACAGCAGAAGGAUUGACAGAUUGAUAGCUCUUUCUUGAUUUGUAGGGUGGUGGUGCAUGGCCGUUCUUAGUUGGUGGAGUGAUUUGUCUGGUUGAUUAA
Molecule: ribosomal RNA, 1377 nt
Filed under: metagenome
Description: SSU rRNA
Rfam family: Eukaryotic small subunit ribosomal RNA
Source: RNAcentral